RNAcentral lists this ribosomal RNA (1107 nucleotides) under Salmonella enterica subsp. enterica serovar Enteritidis. RNAcentral describes it as "partial 23S ribosomal RNA". It matches the Rfam family "Bacterial large subunit ribosomal RNA", at positions 1201 to 2290 of the family's 2925-position model. The record is from RNAcentral. Lineage: Bacteria; Pseudomonadati; Pseudomonadota; Gammaproteobacteria; Enterobacterales; Enterobacteriaceae.
UGCGGCAGCGACACUGUGUGUUGUUGGGUAGGGGAGCGUUCUGUAAGCCUGUGAAGGUGUGUCGUGAGGCAUGCUGGAGGUAUCAGAAGUGCGAAUGCUGACAUAAGUAACGAUAAAGCGGGUGAAAAGCCCGCUCGCCGGAAGACCAAGGGUUCCUGUCCAACGUUAAUCGGGGCAGGGUGAGUCGACCCCUAAGGCGAGGCCGAAAGGCGUAGUCGAUGGGAAACGGGUUAAUAUUCCCGUACUUGGUGUUACUGCGAAGGGGGGACGGAGAAGGCUAUGUUGGCCGGGCGACGGUUGUCCCGGUUUAAGCGUGUAGGUGUGUGUUCCAGGUAAAUCCGGUUCACUUUAACACUGAGGCGUGACGACGAGGCACUACGGUGCUGAAGCAACAAAUGCCCUGCUUCCAGGAAAAGCCUCUAAGCAUCAGGUAACAUCAAAUCGUACCCCAAACCGACACAGGUGGUCAGGUAGAGAAUACCAAGGCGCUUGAGAGAACUCGGGUGAAGGAACUAGGCAAAAUGGUGCCGUAACUUCGGGAGAAGGCACGCUGACACGUAGGUGAAGUGAUUUACUCAUGGAGCUGAAGUCAGUCGAAGAUACCAGCUGGCUGCAACUGUUUAUUAAAAACACAGCACUGUGCAAACACGAAAGUGGACGUAUACGGUGUGACGCCUGCCCGGUGCCGGAAGGUUAAUUGAUGGGGUCAGCGCAAGCGAAGCUCCUGAUCGAAGCCCCGGUAAACGGCGGCCGUAACUAUAACGGUCCUAAGGUAGCGAAAUUCCUUGUCGGGUAAGUUCCGACCUGCACGAAUGGCGUAAUGAUGGCCAGGCUGUCUCCACCCGAGACUCAGUGAAAUUGAACUCGCUGUGAAGAUGCAGUGUACCCGCGGCAAGACGGAAAGACCCCGUGAACCUUUACUAUAGCUUGACACUGAACAUUGAGCCUUGAUGUGUAGGAUAGGUGGGAGGCUUUGAAGUGUGGACGCCAGUCUGCAUGGAGCCGACCUUGAAAUACCACCCUUUAAUGUUUGAUGUUCUAACGUGGACCCGUUACCCGGGUUGCGGACAGUGUCUGGUGGGUAGUUUGACUGGGGCGGUCUCCUCC